Molecule: ribosomal RNA, 424 nt
Filed under: uncultured bacterium
Lineage: Bacteria
Description: partial 16S ribosomal RNA
Rfam family: Bacterial small subunit ribosomal RNA
Source: RNAcentral
GUAGGGAAUAUUGGACAAUGGGGGCAACCCUGAUCCAGCAAUGCCGCGUGAGUGAUGAAGGCCUUAGGGUUGUAAAGCUCUUUUACCCGGGAUGAUAAUGACAGUACCGGGAGAAUAAGCUCCGGCUAACUCCGUGCCAGCAGCCGCGGUAAUACGGAGGGAGCUAGCGUUGUUCGGAAUUACUGGGCGUAAAGCGCGCGUAGGCGGCUAUUUAAGUCAGAGGUGAAAGCCUGGAGCUCAACUCCAGAACUGCCUUUGAGACUGGAUAGCUAGAAUCCUGGAGAGGUGAGUGGAAUUCCGAGUGUAGAGGUGAAAUUCGUAGAUAUUCGGAAGAACACCAGUGGCGAAGGCGGCUCACUGGACAGGUAUUGACGCUGAGGUGCGAAAGCGUGGGGAGCAAACAGGAUUAGAAACCCCAGUAUCC